RNAcentral lists this ribosomal RNA (253 nucleotides) under uncultured bacterium. RNAcentral describes it as "partial 16S ribosomal RNA". It matches the Rfam family "Bacterial small subunit ribosomal RNA", at positions 524 to 776 of the family's 1533-position model. The record is from RNAcentral.
UACGGGGGGUGCGAGCGUUGUCCGGAAUCACUGGGCGUAAAGGGCGCGUAGGCGGCUCAUGAAGGCUGUGGUCAAAGUCCGGGGCUCAACCUCGGAUCGGCCGUGGCGACUCGUGGGCUGGAGCACUGUAGAGGCGGGUGGAAUUCCGGGUGUAGCGGUGGAAUGCGUAGAGAUCCGGAAGAACACCAGUGGCGAAGGCGGCCCGCUGGGCAGUGGCUGACGCUGAGGCGCGACAGCGUGGGGAGCAAACAGG